Molecule: long non-coding RNA, 292 nt
Filed under: Homo sapiens (human)
Lineage: Eukaryota; Metazoa; Chordata; Mammalia; Primates; Hominidae
Description: non-protein coding lnc-NDFIP2-32:1
Source: RNAcentral
GUCCCCAGGCCGGUCCUGCCGCCCGAGCGCCGUCACGCGGGGCGCCCGCGGGGCCGGGCUGGGCACUGCAGGGUCAGUUUAUCUAGUUUCAAGGAAACACUGACCUUAAGGUUUGCCCAGAGGCAAUGAGGACGAGCCAGAGGCUCGAGCUGACUUAGGGAACUUUCUCCUUGCCACCAGGAAAGGGGAAUGAACAUUUAAGACUAAUCUGGGCCACGCAGUGUUAGCAUGAAAAACAAGUUGCAGGUUUUAAGACUUUAUCCAGAAUCCAUUUCAAGUCUACCUCUCCCCU